RNAcentral lists this ribosomal RNA (253 nucleotides) under uncultured Acidobacteriota bacterium. Its description in RNAcentral is "uncultured Acidobacteria bacterium partial 16S ribosomal RNA". It matches the Rfam family "Bacterial small subunit ribosomal RNA", at positions 524 to 776 of the family's 1533-position model. The record is from RNAcentral. Lineage: Bacteria; Pseudomonadati; Acidobacteriota.
UACGGAGGGAGCAAGCGUUACUCGGAAUUAUUGGGCGUAAAGGGCGCGUAGGCGACUCUAUAAGUCUUGUGUGAAAGCCCACGGCUUAACUGUGGAAGUGCACAAGAUACUGUUGAGUUUGAGUUCCGGAGAGGAAGGCAGAAUUCCCGGUGUAGCGGUGAAAUGCGUAGAUAUCGGGAGGAAUACCAGUGGCGAAGGCGGCCUUCUGGACGGAUACUGACGCUGAGGCGCGAAAGCCAGGGGAGCAAACGGG